Long non-coding RNA from Oncorhynchus tshawytscha (Chinook salmon), 760 nucleotides. Lineage: Eukaryota; Metazoa; Chordata; Actinopteri; Salmoniformes; Salmonidae. The record is from Ensembl.
CCACCAAGCAAGCAACACCAUGAUACCAAGGAGCUCUCCAAACAGAAGCAGUGUAAAUUCAGAUGCAUAUCCCAGAUUAAACCAAGGAAUCCUCUUUUAAAGAAGCAUUCUCUACGCCCUGACUGGUUAGUCUUCUCUACAUUCUGAUACUACUACCCUGGUGUGACCUGAGGCUCAGCCGACGUCAUGGCUAUCUCUCCUACCGUAACCCUCCACCUGGACGAUGGUGUGGUGCGUGGCCUGGACCUGCAGUCUUGUGCUGUCCAGCUGUGUAAAGGACAUGGUCACUGUGUGGCUCAGGGACAGGUCACCACCUGUGAGUGUAUCCUGGGGUACAGAGGAGAGUUCUGCCAUGAGAGUGUCAAUGAGGCAAUCGGUGUUCCGCUCACCCUGGGGGUAGUGGCCUUUAUCGUUGGCAUCCUCAUCCUCUCCUUCCUCAUUGCAUUCAUCAGGCAGAGGGUCAAGGUCAAAAGGAAAGCUGCAGCCAAGGAUUCAAGUGGUUUAGAAAAAGACAUUCUGUAGCAUCAAGGUUUGGUUGACGGUCCAACAUCAGAGCACAUCCCCUUCAUCAGGCUUUAUCCCCGGUAUAAACAAUUAUAUACUGUAGUACUAUUUAUAUAAACAACUAUUUACUGUAGUACUCUUCAUAUGAACUACAUGCGUUAGUGUUAACUACUAUACCAUAGCACUACUUAUAUAAACAACUAUGCUGUGGUACUAAUAGAAAUCCAUAUAUGGUGGGACGACUCGUGAAAAGUAA